Molecule: long non-coding RNA, 762 nt
Filed under: Anas platyrhynchos platyrhynchos (common mallard)
Lineage: Eukaryota; Metazoa; Chordata; Aves; Anseriformes; Anatidae
Description: lncRNA (ENSAPLG00000020455.1)
Source: RNAcentral
AUGAAAAUUUGGAACGCCACUGCAAACUGGAAUGUUUGGCAGAAGCAAAACACUUCUGUGCUGUUUAUGAGGUAUAUAAAAAGGAAAAGAUUUUCCACCUGCAAAAUAUCUGAACGACCCCUGCCAUAUCUCCUACCCACAUGUGAGCAGAAAUACUUCCUUCAUUCCCUGCUUAGCUGAACUUUUUUUUUUUUUUUUUUUUUUUUGAGAAAAAAAAGGAUACCGUAGUUUUCUUGAAGCAGAUUGUACUUCAUUUUAUUGUAGUCUUGUAUGCAAUUGACAACUUCUGCUGACUCCAGCAGUGGGAUAAUAACUACUGGGACAUGCUGUGGUUACUGAAUAAUAACUGCUGGGACAAAAUCUGGUUACUGGACCAGGUUAUUGAACAGCUGACUAGAUGCAAAAAUCUAGGUAUAUAGCACCUACAUCCAUAACAUCUAGGUAUAUAGCAUCUAUAGCAUGACUUUCUGCAACAUGCUUCUCCCACUGAAUGCAGCAUGAGCAAGAGGUCAUGGACUGUUCUAGCAUGCUCACGUACCUGUUGAUAUAAUGAGAAACAACACUGAACGUAAGCAGACUAGCUACAAGAUUGUAGUAUGCUGAGCGCAGUGGAGAGAAAUUUAAUCCAUAUUAAUUCUUGAAAGAACAAGAUAGGAUCCUGUUGUUUUAAAGUGUAAGAGAAGUGGAUCAUGAUUUGAGACAGGAGACAUGAGAGAAAAAUCUGCAUUGUGGUAUACUUUCACUCAAGUGCCUCAAGUUGAC